UAUAGAAAUAGACCGUGAGGGUGGUACCGGCGCGUAUGAUGACUGCUGUAAUGACUGAGCCGCCAGUUGAAUACACCGAAAGCAGGAACGCGUCAAGCAGAAGGAACAAGGGUCGUUCGGGUAGUACCACCAUACAGCUAUUGGAAACGAAGGACCAUCCGACAGGCGCAAAAUCAUUCCCAGCCCCCGUUGUGGAGGUGCGAUCACGAUCAGUUACUAUAGAAAGGCCUUCCCGUUCGAAAUUGCCGUGACUAAGGCUUUUUGGCUAAUACAAAAAAGAGCAUACAAGCUGCAUCUAAUGUCGAACAACAAGGACUCCCUUCGAAUUUUUCAUAGCGAAAAGGUUAUACCAGAUGAAUCUGUGGUAUAUUUGUAUGAUGGCAGUAAUCAUUUGUCAACAAAUGUAUUCCUGCGUAGACAAAAAACACAUGGUAGUCUCCUUCAGUGCGC
This is a long non-coding RNA of Varroa destructor (honeybee mite), 450 nucleotides long. RefSeq lists it as uncharacterized. Lineage: Eukaryota; Metazoa; Arthropoda; Arachnida; Mesostigmata; Varroidae. The record is from RefSeq and is a predicted model, not a curated record.